This 738-nucleotide ribosomal RNA is filed under the name Vibrio parahaemolyticus. Its description in RNAcentral is "partial 23S ribosomal RNA". It matches the Rfam family "Bacterial large subunit ribosomal RNA", at positions 2211 to 2925 of the family's 2925-position model. Lineage: Bacteria; Pseudomonadati; Pseudomonadota; Gammaproteobacteria; Vibrionales; Vibrionaceae. The record is from RNAcentral.
GUGUUGAUGUUCUAACGUCGACCCCUAAUCGGGGUUGCGGACAGUGCCUGGUGGGUAGUUUGACUGGGGCGGUCUCCUCCCAAAGAGUAACGGAGGAGCACGAAGGUGGGCUAAUCACGGUUGGACAUCGUGAGGUUAGUGCAAUGGCAUAAGCCCGCUUGACUGCGAGAAUGACAAUUCGAGCAGGUGCGAAAGCAGGUCAUAGUGAUCCGGUGGUUCUGAAUGGAAGGGCCAUCGCUCAACGGAUAAAAGGUACUCCGGGGAUAACAGGCUGAUACCGCCCAAGAGUUCAUAUCGACGGCGGUGUUUGGCACCUCGAUGUCGGCUCAUCACAUCCUGGGGCUGAAGUCGGUCCCAAGGGUAUGGCUGUUCGCCAUUUAAAGUGGUACGCGAGCUGGGUUUAGAACGUCGUGAGACAGUUCGGUCCCUAUCUGCCGUGGGCGUUGGAAGAUUGAAGGGGGCUGCUCCUAGUACGAGAGGACCGGAGUGGACGAACCUCUGGUGUUCGGGUUGUGUCGCCAGACGCAUUGCCCGGUAGCUAAGUUCGGAAUCGAUAACCGCUGAAAGCAUCUAAGCGGGAAGCGAGCCCUGAGAUGAGUCUUCCCUGAUACUUUAAGUAUCCUAAAGGGUUGUCGGAGACUACGACGUUGAUAGGUCAGGUGUGUAAGUGCUGUGAGGCAUUGAGCUAACUGAUACUAAUUGCCCGUGAGGCUUAACCAUACAACACCCAAGGGGUUU